RNAcentral lists this ribosomal RNA (497 nucleotides) under uncultured bacterium. RNAcentral describes it as "partial 16S ribosomal RNA". It matches the Rfam family "Bacterial small subunit ribosomal RNA", at positions 28 to 507 of the family's 1533-position model. The record is from RNAcentral.
GAUGAACGCUGGCGGCGUGCCUAAUACAUGCAAGUCGAGCGAACAGACGAGGAGCUUGCUCCUCUGACGUUAGCGGCGGACGGGUGAGUAACACGUGGAUAACCUACCUAUAAGACUGGGAUAACUUCGGGAAGCCGGAGCUAAUACCGGAUAAUAUAUUGAACCGCAUGGUUCAAUAGUGAAAGACGGUUUUGCUGUCACUUAUAGAUGGAUCCGCGCCGCAUUAGCUAGUUGGUAAGGUAACGGCUUACCAAGGCGACGAUGCGUAGCCGACCUGAGAGGGUGAUCGGCCACACUGGAACUGAGACACGGUCCAGACUCCUACGGGAGGCAGCAGUAGGGAAUCUUCCGCAAUGGGCGAAAGCCUGACGGAGCAACGCCGCGUGAGUGAUAAAGGUCUUCGGAUCAUAAAACUCUGUUAUUAGGGAAGAACAAAUGUGUAAGUAACUAUGCACGUCUUGACGGUACCUAAUCAGAAAGCCACGGCUAACUACGUG